ACUUGCUGUCAUGGCUGUGUCUAGCUGUCCCCCCAUCCCCCAUGCAGUCAUAGGCGGGGCUUUCCAGAGGUGGCUGGAUCUACAGUGAGUGAAGCUGAGACAAAGGCGUGUGAUCACUAAACCAGUCCAUGAUUGCCUUGGCACUGCCCUAAUCCUGGAAGCCUGGAUAGAGCCUAAAAAGGGGCAGAAAGAGGUCCCUUACUUGCUUACUUGCUUUGCUGUCUUCUGCCUGCCAUGGACUGUUUCCCCUCUGCGAAGCCCUCUGCCACGCCACCCAGUCUUGGCACUAGCCAAGUGUAGACUGAAACCUCUGCAAACUGUGAAUCGAAAUAAACCUUUCCUUCUUUAGCUCCGGGUGCUGGGUAUUUUGUUUCAGCAAUGAGAAAAGUAACUAAGUCACCUGGGUUCCAUUUUUCAAGGUCCAGACCAACUCACCCACGGAGCUCUCUGGAGUGGGCCACCUGGCUUCCAUGCGCCUCUCCACGUGGGGGUCAGCAGAGCCGCCUCAGGGCCUGGCAUGAGGAAGACCUUGUGAAGGAGGGAUGAAAAUUGAGCAGUGCGUGGACAGUCAGGAGAUGCUCCCAGCCCAGCCCAGCAGGCAACCAGAGUGUCCUGUCCUCCUGCCUGAGUAUGGGCUGAGCCUGAGCCUUCCUUCCCGGGAGCGGGAAGGAGCCAUGGCCUGGCCUAGUGGCACCUGCUCACUCUGACCCGUGAGCAGGUUCCUGUGCUCGGUGAGGGAAGAGAGUCCUCCAGGGAAGGGCUUUCCUGGCCAUGGCUGUAGGGACCCUGGGCACAGAGACCAGUCUGCUGCAGGCAGCCAGCCUGGCCUGGUCAGCCUGUCUCAGGGGUGGAGGGCGGAGGGUGGAGGUGACGCGACCUCUCCCACUGGGCCAGGGAUUGGGCAGAACAAGAAGCAGUCAGGACCCUUGGUGCUCCUCAUCCCAGGCCCUCCCCACCCUGGACACGCUGGCUUCCACUUCUGCUACGGCUCCAUCCACGGUCUUUCUACCAGCACCGUGGGCCUGCACACGGGGAGAGUCUUGCAGCGCUAACCGUUCCACCAAAUGGAAUGAGUAUUCCGAUGGCCUGAGAAGAAGAGUUGGCUUUAUAAACAGAGAGAGGCCGAAGAAGGCAGAAACAAAGGCUGGAAAGCAGACUGGCCCUCUCCAAGCUACUUUCCUCGUAAGGCGGGCACAGGGCUCCAGAACAAUAGGCCCUGCACUGCCCGCCUCUCCCACGGCAGCCUGGCUUCCCUGUGGGGAGGCGCCCCGACCCCACUCGGCUGCGCGCCCAGGGCUGUUUUACACUGCGCUUGGCUCCUGGGAAGCUGCAUGGCGUCUCCCGAGCUGUUGAAGGAAGGAGUCACCCGCAGUCUCGGAACCCUCAGGGAGCUUCAGUGUGGGGACUGAACACCAGAAAGACCUUGACAGUUAGAAGGUGGACCCCAGCCUCCAGCAAGGACCCCUAACCCCUGAAGGCUGAGGUGAUCACCAGUGGCCAAAAUGUAACCGAUCGAGCCCCCAUGAUGAAGCCCACAAAGCCCACCAGCCAGGUUUGGAAAGUUCCACUGCAGGCACCAGGAGGGUGAUGUGCUGCCCGAAGGGCAUGGAAGCUCUGCCCCUCCACACGGGCCCUGCUGUUCUCCCUGCUACUCUUCCAAGUCCUUUGUAACAUCCUUUCUGAUAAAUGGGGCCAACUUGGGAAGGACCAUACACCAUGAUCCUGUCAACCCCCUCAGCUGUCAAGGUAGCAGGCCUGGACUCCUGGGCACACCAUACUUGACUCAAGCCCUGAGAACCAGAGACUGUUGCUGAAUGUGAGCAACCACCUGAAUACUCCUGUGAACCCACAGGAGACUUACAGUUCUUUUUCAAGAGGAAAACAAAGUCUUCAGAUAAGUAGUCUAAGAUGUUACCCUAGCCUUGUA
Heterocephalus glaber (naked mole-rat) is the source of this 1927-nucleotide long non-coding RNA. The record is from Ensembl. Lineage: Eukaryota; Metazoa; Chordata; Mammalia; Rodentia; Bathyergidae.